Molecule: long non-coding RNA, 225 nt
Filed under: Gossypium barbadense (sea-island cotton)
Lineage: Eukaryota; Viridiplantae; Streptophyta; Magnoliopsida; Malvales; Malvaceae
Description: long non-coding RNA (GBAR_LNC011458)
Source: RNAcentral
UUUAAUGGUAAGAUUUUUGGGGACGAAAAUCCUUAAGGGAGGAGAAUUCCAACAGUCCAGUUUAGACCCCAGUCGAAAGAGUGGUUUCAGGACCACAAAUAUGCGUCAGAAAAAUGUUUUAAUAUUAUUUCCUGUGUUUUUGAUGUGUGAAUUAGCAUGUGUGAAAGUCUCGUAUGAAAAUUUGAAUGUUUUUGUGCUUAAUUUAAUAAAAAUGAUCUAAUCCCG